UCUACGGGAGGCAGCAGUGAGGAAUAUUGGACAAUGGGCGCAAGCCUGAUCCAGCCAUGCCGCGUGCAGGAUGACGGUCCUAUGGAUUGUAAACUGCUUUUGCACAGGAAGAAACAACUCUACGUGUAGAGUCUUGACGGUACUGUGAGAAUAAGGAUCGGCUAACUCCGUGCCAGCAGCCGCGGUAAUACGGAGGAUCCAAGCGUUAUCCGGAAUCAUUGGGUUUAAAGGGUCCGUAGGCGGUUUAGUAAGUCAGUGGUGAAAGCCCAUCGCUCAACGGUGGAACGGCCAUUGAUACUGCUAGACUUGAAUUAUUAGGAAGUAACUAGAAUAUGUAGUGUAGCGGUGAAAUGCUUAGAGAUUACAUGGAAUACCAAUUGCGAAGGCAGGUUACUACUAAUGGAUUGACGCUGAUGGACGAAAGCGUGGGUAGCGAACAGGAUUAGAUACCCUGGUAGUCCACGCCGUAAACGAUGGAUACUAGCUGUUGGGCGCAAGCUCAGUGGCUAAGCGAAAGUGAUAAGUAUCCACCUGGGGAGUUACGUUGCAAAGAAUUGAAACUUCAAAGGAAUUGACGGNGUUGAGAGNGCGAGGACGACGACGAGGAGGAG
RNAcentral lists this ribosomal RNA (611 nucleotides) under uncultured bacterium. Its description in RNAcentral is "bacterial SSU rRNA". It matches the Rfam family "Bacterial small subunit ribosomal RNA", at positions 338 to 949 of the family's 1533-position model. The record is from RNAcentral.